CUUUAAAUAAGCUAAUACAAGCUACUGGGCUCAUAACCCAGGAAUGAUAGAACAUCUUUAAAGGC
This 65-nucleotide transfer RNA is filed under the name Cerion tridentatum costellata. RNAcentral's name for it is "tRNA-Met". Lineage: Eukaryota; Metazoa; Mollusca; Gastropoda; Stylommatophora; Cerionidae. The record is from RNAcentral.